This is a long non-coding RNA of Macrobrachium nipponense, 851 nucleotides long. RefSeq lists it as uncharacterized. The transcript has 3 exons. The record is from RefSeq and is a predicted model, not a curated record. NCBI's taxonomy places the organism in Eukaryota, Metazoa, Arthropoda, Malacostraca, Decapoda, Palaemonidae.
UGAUGCUUUCACUGGGUAUUAGGGCCUCUGUAGAACUACGAUAGUUCUACACGUUAUAUAGAUGUUUCACAUGUUCUUCCGACUUUCAGAGGCAAGCCAGUUUUCAUUAGUCCUAUGAAUAAAUCCAUGCAUGGAACUAAAUUCUGAGACUACCUGAAGUUUAUAGACGAUGCAAAGCUGAUGAUCAUUGUACCAGCUACAAACUCUAACACUGCCUGAAAUUUAUAGACGAUACAAAGCUGAUGAUCACUGUGCCAGCUGAAAGCAGAUCUGUGGAAAGUAUUUUGCCAGCUUUCAACAGAAUCAAAACUUACUGCAGGACCACAAAAAUGGCAGGAAAGCUGUCAUCCUUACCUUGAUUUCAGCGUAAAAACUCUCUCUGCUUGAGCGCUUGUAAAAAUGAAACAGAUUUUAUGAUGAGGUGACGACAGAAGUUUCCUUGAAAGAAAGGGGAUUUAGGAUUCAGUCGUGGAUAAAAUUCUAAAGAAGAGGAAAUGCAAAGAGAUGAGAAAUCACAUACUGAGAGAGAAAGCGCUCAUUUCUGCUUUCGUGAGGAAGAAGGAAGAAGAAUUCAACUUCGUAUUACCCGGGAAACUUACCGACAGUUUAUAUUGGCAGUUAUACCAGGAAUUAUUCCAGCCAUACCGAAUUUCCCAAGGACAACAGUGUGUUAGCCUAAAGGGAAGAAGAGGACUUUAGUGAGAGCUGGAAAAGAAGGUACUGCACAAGUCAUCACAUUCACGGUAAAGCUGCAAAUGAGAGGAAUGUUUGGAUCCAAAGAAGGGGUAUGAAGCACAUACACAGAGCCAGAAAAAUGCAGUUCUCAGAUACAGUUAUUCAAAUGUAAGUAG